CUUUUCUUGAUUAAAUAUGAAGUAUAGCCUGCUCAAUGAGAAUUUAAAUAGCCGCGGUAUGAUGACCGUGCAAAGGUAGCAUAAUCAUUAGUCUUUUAAUUGUAGGCUGGAAUGAAUGGUUGGACGAAAUAAUUUCUGUCUUAAUUUUAUUAAUUUGAAGUUAAUUUUUGUGUUAAAAAGCUCAAAUUAUUUUUUGGGACGAGAAGACCCUAUAGAGUUUUAUAUUUUUUAGAAAUUUAUUUUUUUGUUUUAGUAAGUUACUAAAUUUAUUUUGUUGGGGUGAUGUAAAGAUAAGAAUAACUCUUUAUAUUUUUAUUUAUAAAUUAUUAUAUUUGUGAUCCAUUAUUAAUGAUUAAAAGAUUAAAUUACCUUAGGGAUAACAGCGUAAUCUUUUUAGAGAGUUCUUAUUGACAAUAAGGAUUGCGA
This 426-nucleotide ribosomal RNA is filed under the name Salganea incerta. RNAcentral describes it as "partial 16S ribosomal RNA". The record is from RNAcentral. Lineage: Eukaryota; Metazoa; Arthropoda; Insecta; Blattodea; Blaberidae.